RNAcentral lists this unclassified non-coding RNA (434 nucleotides) under Naegleria sp. RNG525. Its description in RNAcentral is "partial contains ITS1, 5.8S rRNA, ITS2, and 28S rRNA". The stretch from base 34 to 178 matches the Rfam family "5.8S ribosomal RNA". The record is from RNAcentral. Lineage: Eukaryota; Heterolobosea; Eutetramitea; Acrasida; Naegleriidae.
AUGGUAAAAAGGUGAAAACCUUUUUUACCCCCAAACUCUGUGCAAUGGAGCACACGGCUUAUGCAUCGAUGAAGCCCGCGGCAAAAAGCGAUAUGUAAUGAGAUUCGUUAGCCUCGCGAUUCAUCAAAUUGGUGAACACAUACUGGACCUCUUCGGAGGUACUUGCGUUAGAGUGCUAGUUUUAUAUCAAUUGAUCCUGGUAAAAGGUGUUUGUAUCUUUAGAUGCUUACGCCCUAGCCGGUGUAGCCGGAUUCUCUUUGAGAAACCGGAUUGUUCUGAACCUGUUGGUUUAGUUGGCCGUUUGCAACUCUACCCACCCAUUGCGGGUUCGCGGUACGGUGUGCGGCGCUCGAUUAAAUUGAUGGUUUAGUCAAUCACUUUUAUAUUUUAACUGGCCUCUAAUGUGAGAGGGUACCCCCUGGAUUUAAGCAUAU